CACCAUUUUCCAAUCUUUGUUUUUAAAUAGUUAACUAGGAUUAGGGUUUCUCAUAAAUUGUUUUAAAUAAUCCCAGUGGAAAACGACCUUACUUGAGCCAUUUAUACUUAUCACACCCCAGACCUAUGGUAGGUGGAAAAUUUGAUCCCAAGUCCGAAACGCGAACUAAAAACUAAAUAAAUAAAAUGAAACGGAAACGGGUUGGAAAAUAAAAUUUUUCUUAUUUAAAAUAACUCAAUAAUUCUUUACAAGGCUAAAUAAAUAAAUACAAAUUCUAGCCUCACAUCUAUCUUGUCUCAUCCCGUAUACCCUUUUGACAGUUUAGUUAGUAAACCUGCAUAACAAUAAAGGGGUGAGCUUCAACAGUUCAGUAGGGACAUAACCUUACCACAGUAAAAUUGACAAUACUAAAUUACAUGUUAUAAAAUCAUGUAAUACCAAAUCAUUCUCGAUAACAAUGCAUGAAUGCAAUGCAAUACUCUUCAUCUCUGCCCGUUAAUUCAUAUAAUAACACGCAGACCUGCACAUCCCAUACCGUGCAUUUUACCUCUACAGUGGUGGUUCUAAUGUUUUAAUAUACAAAUUAACCCCCUGUAACUCAAUCAUCCCAAUUUCCCCUUUUGUUAGUCAUCUUGCCUAAACUCUUCGUUGCUAGUCCCAAAUUACCCUUAAAGAAUCUGUGCACUGUAGGCUCAUCUGAGACCUGGUACCUGCUAAGAGUUUGGCUCAACUACACAAAAGAUCAUUUCCAACUGCCCUCAUUUCCAGAAUUCCUUCCUCAACAUCGAAACUCCAAUCACAUAACACAUCAUGAAUGAUGCAAAAUUAAUUUCAUUUCAUAGUCCACAUUUAUCACCAAUGAACAACAUUCCAACAACAAUUCACAAUCACAACUCUAUGAACAUUCGAAUCAAGCAAUGAUACACAUAUAACCAAUUAUCAUCCAAUUCCAAUCAAUCAAUCAAUCAAUAUUAACAAGAAUAUAACACUUCACGAAAUUUAAUAAAAUCAAUCUCUGUAAAUGCAUGCCGUAUUUCCCCUACCUGGAUUCCAAAGCAUUGCUCCAAGUGACGUAAUAGUCAAAAAACACCAAUUCAUCUCAUAAUUCCUAUUUACAAGUAUCACGUUAUCAACCUAAGCAUAUUGUAUAACACCUCAAAUUCAAUUAUAGUUAAAGCACAUCGAAAUACUUUAGCCUCAAGUUAUACAAAAGCUUCUGUCCGACUUGUAUAUAUAUGGUUCCAACUCUAAAUGCAUACUUUAUUUCAUCAAGCUAUUCAUAGCGUGUGUGUGUGAUACACGUGUAUUUCCCUUCCAACAAACUGGGCCAAUUCUAAUUUAAUAAAACAACUCAUUCAUUUCCAACAAAUUGCACAUUGUACAUAUAAUCUAAUACAACAUGCUGCUUUGUUUGACACACACAUACAUAGCUAGAGAAAAUCAAAUAUCUAUACAUGUAUAUAGUUUGGAGAUGGAAGUCCUAGCCGUAUACAUAUGCAGAAAAACCAGUUUUGAUAACAGUGGUUAGUCUACAGCAGAAAGUUUAAUACUGUAUAAGAUUAGGAUUCCUUAAAACUAAUAGGAAAUAUACAAAUAGCUAUGAAACUAUACAUGAUAAAAGAAUCUUUACCCAGGUAUGGCAAUCUGUCGAUUGAAUCAAUGACACCAAAGUGAUGAUGUAGACAAAAGCAGGAAUCAAACUCCUGUUCAUUGCUAUAACAAGAAAGAGAUACCAAGAACACCUCUAUCAAUCAAGACGUCGAGAAAUUGGGAGAGGGUUCUAAUAUAAAUCCUCUCAGCAAAACAUUCAGUUCCACCUCUCUUUGUCUCUCUCUCUCCUCGACUCUAUUUGUUGCGUAAGAAAGAACCCUCUACCUAUUUGAUGCUAAACAUACAUAUAGGCAUCAUAUAUUCCAAACUUACACCGCCUGCAACCUCCUAUGUCUUUGGGUCCAAUCAUGACUCGACAUGUGGCUAAAUUGCCACUAACCUAAUCAGAAAAGCCCUUUUGCUGUCUAACUCCAGCUGCUAUCACGUGGAAAAAUCAGCCACACCUUGGCUUACACGUGGCACUUCAUCAUUGGUUCAGCUUGUAAAUUCCAUUAAAAAUUCAUCUAAGCUUUGAAAAAUAAUCCGAAAAAUGAUAUGAACUCGCAAUGACGUUCACUACCUUCAUAUGAAAACCUUUUGAAUAAAUAAGCACAACAUAUUUUUUUCCAAAUAUUUCUCUUAUUUGAUAAUAAAUUCUUGGGAUAGUACAAUACUACAACAACCUUGUUCUCUUGCAAGUAUUUUAAGUGUUUUUAUCUCUACUUUUGUAGGUGGUACGAUCCCUAUCACCUACAACCCAGAAAAGAAAAGGAAAAAAAACCAUUAGGAUGGAAAAGGAUGAGUGCAAGGGUAGGUGCAUUGGGUUUUUUUUUU
This 2424-nucleotide long non-coding RNA is filed under the name Malus domestica (apple). RNAcentral describes it as "long non-coding RNA (MDOM_LNC003109)". The record is from RNAcentral. Lineage: Eukaryota; Viridiplantae; Streptophyta; Magnoliopsida; Rosales; Rosaceae.